Molecule: unclassified non-coding RNA, 19 nt
Filed under: Mus musculus (house mouse)
Lineage: Eukaryota; Metazoa; Chordata; Mammalia; Rodentia; Muridae
Description: oocyte_clustered_small_RNA12693
Source: RNAcentral
UGGAGACAUAGUAACCAGU